Molecule: long non-coding RNA, 212 nt
Filed under: Carica papaya (papaya)
Lineage: Eukaryota; Viridiplantae; Streptophyta; Magnoliopsida; Brassicales; Caricaceae
Description: long non-coding RNA (CPAP_LNC011328)
Source: RNAcentral
AAACCUUCGACUAUACGCAUGAGUCUUUCUAGACUCUACUCGAUCUGGUCUUUCGAAACUCGAUGUGUCUACUCUCUUGAUAUCCUUGUCAUUUCCUACAUUCAUGAAAUUCAAAUUUAGAGACAUUUUCCUAUGUUUCAUAAUUUUAUCUAAGUCUUAUGUAACCCUAAGUCUCGUAUUUAAGGGAUGUCCUAGAACUGUGCUCUGAUACC